CUCUGAUGGCAAGGUGCCUUUUGGAUCUGUCACCCUUAUACCUGGAGACCUCUACCACUUCUCUGUCUGGACCACAUCAAAGGUGAAGUCCAAUAUCUAUCCAGCAAGUAUUUUUUAAAGGCCUACCAGGGGCCUCGCUAUUCUAGGAGCAAGAAGAUAGCAGUGAACAAAAUGAAAUCCCGUCUUCAUGGAGAUUAUGUUCCAGUGGGGAGCAGACAAAUGAGAAACAAAGUCUGUGUGACUUUGGACAAGUUUCUUGAUCUCUCUGGACUUCAGUUGCAUCAUCUGCAUAAUGAGGAUAAUACCUUACAGCAUUCUUCAGAGGGACAAAUGAACCAAU
Manis pentadactyla (Chinese pangolin) is the source of this 340-nucleotide long non-coding RNA. RefSeq lists it as uncharacterized. NCBI's taxonomy places the organism in Eukaryota, Metazoa, Chordata, Mammalia, Pholidota, Manidae. The transcript has 3 exons. The record is from RefSeq and is a predicted model, not a curated record.